This is a non-coding RNA of Coturnix japonica (Japanese quail), 1409 nucleotides long. The record is from RefSeq and is a predicted model, not a curated record. NCBI's taxonomy places the organism in Eukaryota, Metazoa, Chordata, Aves, Galliformes, Phasianidae.
GAAGCACGGACAGUGAUCGGAUGGCUGAGCACAAAGGGUUUUGAUUCUGGAUGUUUUCCACUUGGGCAGCUAUGUUCUGGCUACUCAUAUGAUUGCACUUCUAGAAGAGGAGCAGCUCUUACAGCCCUGAAGACAUAAUGGAGCCCUGGGGAUCUCUGACACAACAAGCUCUGAAAGCUGCGAGCACUUAGCCAAAUUGACUUCAGUUUACCAAAAUAAUAAUAAUUAAAAAAAAAAAAAAAAAAAAAAAAAAAAUUAAAAAAAAAAAAAAAAAAAAAAAAAAAAAAAAAAAAAAAAAAAAAAAGCAAGAAAGAAGAAAGCAGUUUGGGGGGCUGCUGGACAAGUAACUAUAUAAAUGGUUAAAGACAUUUCAGCUCCUAGAAGACAGUCUCAGUGACCUGUAAUGUCAGUAUGUAAUGGGCAAGCAUAAAGGGAAGGGAAUGUAAUUUAAGUGCUAGAAGAGUGGGGGAAAAAAAAAGUGAAAAGGAGGAGAGUAGAAACAUUAGUGCAGUGGCAGUUUGCUUACCCUUUAUUAAAACAUUUCUUUAACACAGUGUAUAUGUAUCUGCAAGCACAAUACGGACUAUGGCAUUAAUAGGAGUUAAGAGAAUAGAAUUAUGCUGUGUGCAUAAUCUGUAACAUUCACAUGCUCCACUACAGGGAAACAUUUACCCAUAUUCAGACUCGUGUUCCAGGGACUUUUGAGUCAUUUUCCUAAAGUCCAUGGUAAAAGGAAACACUGAAUUAUAACUGAUACCCCAUGGUUCUUCAGCUGCUUAGUCCUUCUUGAAUAGCCCUGGGAGAAAACUCAGGUAAUUCUAAACUACCAUGUAGACUUGAAGUCCUCUUGGUUUGUCACAGUGUCAUUUUCACAGGAGUAAAUACAUUGUAUUAUGUUUGGCUUAUAAAUUUUGAAUGCUGGAUGUUUCAAUAUGGGAGAUAAUGACCUUCUGAUUAGUUCCACAAAAAUGCCCAAUAUUAUAAGAACAAAACCAGAAAAAUUAAAAUGGAACAAAUGUUGAGGAAAACAGUUUCGAAAACUCUAUUUGCUCUGUUUGGAGAUUUAAGAAUGCAAGAAACCUUCUUUGUCACCAAAUCCGAUCUCCUGUUGUCACAGUCAGAGCCUCAUACAUGUAAUUUAUCACAUACUUGUUUUUCUGAGGGUAAAUGUGCUACAUGUCUCACAAUAACUGAAUAAAUGUUCUUAUUUCAGUGUGACUUAGAUUAGUCACUUGUGGGUGCCAAGAGAAUUGAUCUGCUAUGGCAACUCCAGCAUUAUAAAACAGCCUGCAGGUUUUUCCAGAUGAAUCAGUCAUUGUAAAUGAACAAAUCUUAAUUUUGGCUUUCUGUAUGUGACCUCCAUGACCACAUGCCAGAAAAUUAUGAAUAAACAUGGUUUUGAACAAGUA